CCCUAUGGGGUGCAGCAGAAACGCGGUAGCCUGGCAGGGACAGGGGUGAGAGCAUGGAGCGCCAGGUACUGGUUGUCGAGGACGACGUUGAAAGCCUGCGUCUCUACAGUGACAUGCUUAGGCGGGGAGGAUAUGCGCCGGUAGCAGCCAGCACGGGGUGGGAGGGCAUCGACCUUGCUGUCAAGGAGCAUCCGGGACUGAUCCUGCUGGACCUGCGUCUCCCGGAUAUCACCGGGCUGACCGUGCUCGAGACCCUGCAUGCCGCCCUAUCCACCAAGAGCAUUCCCAUCAUUGUCGUGUCGGCCAUCAGCAAGGAGGACGACGUUAUUAAGGCCAUGCAGAUGGGAGC
RNAcentral lists this ribosomal RNA (349 nucleotides) under uncultured prokaryote. RNAcentral describes it as "partial 16S ribosomal RNA". The record is from RNAcentral.